This 1942-nucleotide unclassified non-coding RNA is filed under the name Zea mays. RNAcentral describes it as "misc RNA Zm00001eb384050". The record is from RNAcentral. Lineage: Eukaryota; Viridiplantae; Streptophyta; Magnoliopsida; Poales; Poaceae.
CCUCCCUUUAUAUCUCCAGCACAUCGUAUUGGAUAAAAUCGUCGUCUACCUCCCGCAGAUUUUUUUCACCGUCGUUCACUCGUUCACAUCCCUUCUCUGUACGUGGCUCUGGAUUUUCUUUUCCCUGCGCGCUUAUCCAGCCGCCGCUCAACUCAAGCAUAAAAAUCAAGCACGCGGGCCCUGAAGCUUCACUUGACGCGUCCCGGCCAAGCCCUUGCUCGGAUUCCAGGCGUCUUCUUCCCUGCCCCUGUCCUGUUUUUCUCUGCGCAGGAUUUGGAGCCCCUGCCAUGGCCGCAAGCUCGCUCUGCCCCCUGCUUUUCCUGGCCACGGCGUCCCUGUUCCUCGUCGCCCGGUCGCUCGAUCUCUCCUCUAGCGCGCAGCCACUCCUUUUUCUCUCUCUGGUAUGCUUCCAGUCGAGUGGUGCCAUGGCGCUCCAUUUUUUUUCUGCGCGUGAGCUCUGCGUUUCCCAGCUCUGCUCCAGCCGCGUCCGCUGCUCAUCCCCUCUACCGCGUCUUCCUCCUUGCUCCUUGCGCGAGCCGCGACCCUCUGACCAGUCCCAGCCGAGCUCCCUCCAGCUCCAACCCGGCUCCAUCCAUGGCCGUGCCGUGCUGCUCGUCGGUGCUCGCCGCGGGAGACGGCGCUCGGUCGCCCCUUCUCCCCCUGCUCCGAUCUCGCUCGUGAAGCUCCCAUGGCGCGCCACGAGCUCCUCACGGCCGUACCUGGCCGGAUCUCCCAGCCGAGCCGCUUUUCUUCAUCUUCCCGUGUGUCGCGGAGCUCGGAUCGCGCCCCGUCUCCUCUGCUUGCUCGGCGCCCGUCUCCUAUGGCGUCUGGCAGCCGCUUCUCUCUGCGCGCUGCGUUUUUUUAUUUAUUCCCCAAGUUUCCAGUCAUGGCGUGCUCUCCCUGCUCGCCUGGCCGGAGCGCCCUGCGCUCUGCUCGCCCAUGGAGUUUGCUGAGCUCCAUUUCUGCUCGGUCGUGCCCCUACCGAGUCUCCCAUGGCCGUACCCUGGGAUUCGCCGGAGUCUGCUUCCCUCGCCGCGCGCUGCUUCUUCCCAUGGCACGACUGCCCUGCUCUAUUUGACGGACGCGCAGUCGCCCUGCUCGCGGAGCUUCCUUGCCGUGGCCGUCGCGUGCCUGCGCGCAGCUCGGCGCCUGGUGCUCGCCCCUGCUGCGCGUGUCGAACUCUUCUAGUGCGUGUACGAAGUUCUCUGGUCGCCACGGCGUGUCAAGUUUCCGCGUCGAACUCUUCUAGUGCGUGUACGAAGUUCUCUGGUCGCCACGGCGUGUCAAGUUUCCGCGUCGAGCCCCCGCGUUGAAUCAAGCCUCAUGUUGCCGUAUUCCUGUUUCAGUUUGUCGUGUCGCGCCAUCAUCGCUCUGUCGUAAGCUUGCUAGCCACAAUUAUCUUAACCGCGUCAGCACGCGACUGUAGUCGUGUUCAUCGAAUUCGCCAACGCUUUGUUGCCGAUUCGACUGUCGUCGCUUCGCGUGUUGUCGAGCCCGUCGUUUUCCAUAUCUUGUACUCGCGUGGUUUCCUGCUCGCCGGUGCGCCCUCUCGGCUCGCUCGGCUUUAAUUCCCAAUCGCGUCGUCGAUUCCGCCGGUUAACGUCGUUUGUCGUCGCGUCGCGAGUACAGCUCUAUAUACGUCACCCUUCUGAUCGUCGUCGAUCCGUGUGUCAUUAAGAAAUCCUAAGAAUCGGGUGAAGACGAAGCUAGCAGCACGAUAUUCCCCAAGCGUUCGACAAAUUGCUUGGAUAGGAAAAUUGCUACCGAUCUCGUGGAUUCAUGUCAGCUGUGGAAACGGUAAGCUGAUAAAUUAUUCAGUAUAGUUCGAUCGUUGAAUAAAUUAAUAUGUUAGUGCGAGGCUCAUUAGGGUGCUCGAUAAAUUGCGUAAGUCACGAAACUCUCGUCGACUUCGCAGUUCUUGCGAUUAUCGAGCCAGGUUCAG